AUACGGAGGACGCGAGCGUUAUCCGGAUUCAUUGGGUUUAAAGGGUGCGCAGGCGGCUGUGCAAGUCAGCGGUGAAAGCCCGGGGCCCAACCCCGGAAGUGCCGUUGAUACUGCAUGGCGGGAAUGCGGUCGAGGCGGGCGGAACGGGGCGUGUAGCGGGGAAAUGCGUAGAUAUGGCACAGAAAACCGAUAGAGGAGGCAGUUCGCCAGGCCUGCAUUGACGCUCGGGCACGAAAGCGGGGGGAUCGAACAGGAUUAGAUACCCUGGUAGUCCACGCCGUAAACGAUGGGCGCUCGUCGUCGGCGGCAGACAGUCGGCGGCCAAGCGAAAGCGAUAAGCGCCCCACCUGGGGAGUACGGUCGCAAGGCUGAAACUCAAAUGAAUUGACGGGG
RNAcentral lists this ribosomal RNA (393 nucleotides) under uncultured bacterium. RNAcentral describes it as "partial 16S ribosomal RNA". It matches the Rfam family "Bacterial small subunit ribosomal RNA", at positions 523 to 918 of the family's 1533-position model. The record is from RNAcentral.